Molecule: non-coding RNA, 509 nt
Organism: Dermacentor andersoni
Lineage: Eukaryota; Metazoa; Arthropoda; Arachnida; Ixodida; Ixodidae
Source: RefSeq, a predicted model, not a curated record
CAUGGCGGCACGGAUUCAUUCGUUCGUGCGCUCAGGCUGGUUGCUUCUUUUUCGCUAAAACUAGUUUAUUGCGCUUCGAUGUCACGCGUUAUUUAACCUGGGGUGAAGUGACGUGUUUGCAAGCGGACAUGUAAGCCUGAAAGUUGGGUAUCAGUCGUGAGCCAUUCGGAACACGUCUGCAUCGAAACGGGAGCUGGAUUCUGGUGCGGCUGACAACGGCAAUAACGACAUGCAGUAAUGAGGAUGGCACCAGUAUAAAGCAACAGACUCCACACACUAAACAGAAGCUGCUGCCUGCUACAACAAGGCCAUUGUGUGGACAUUGGCUGCUACUACAAGAGUCCAUGCCAAGCAUACCUUGGUCAUCACAGGAGCUCCUAUCCACACCAACAGAAAGGGGCUGGAGCUGAAUUUGCAAGGCUUUUACACCACGAACAAAGAAGUGCAUGCAGAAGAAUUUACAUGAGAUAUCAAGUCUGCAGAGCACUGUGUCAAGACUGAAAAGAGCU